RNAcentral lists this ribosomal RNA (1878 nucleotides) under Salmonella enterica. RNAcentral's name for it is "partial 23S ribosomal RNA". It matches the Rfam family "Bacterial large subunit ribosomal RNA", at positions 711 to 2485 of the family's 2925-position model. The record is from RNAcentral. Lineage: Bacteria; Pseudomonadati; Pseudomonadota; Gammaproteobacteria; Enterobacterales; Enterobacteriaceae. RNAcentral also lists the same sequence under 1 other name.
AGACCCGAAACCCGGUGAUCUAGCCAUGGGCAGGUUGAAGGUUGGGUAACACUAACUGGAGGACCGAACCGACUAAUGUUGAAAAAUUAGCGGAUGACCUGUGGCUGGGGGUGAAAGGCCAAUCAAACCGGGAGAUAGCUGGUUCUCCCCGAAAGCUAUUUAGGUAGCGCCUCGUGAAUUCAUCUCCGGGGGUAGAGCACUGUUUCGGCUAGGGGGCCAUCCCGGCUUACCAACCCGAUGCAAACUGCGAAUACCGGAGAAUGUUAUCACGGGAGACACACGGCGGGUGCUAACGUCCGUCGUGAAGAGGGAAACAACCCAGACCGCCAGCUAAGGUCCCAAAGUCAUGGUUAAGUGGGAAACGAUGUGGGAAGGCCCAGACAGCCAGGAUGUUGGCUUAGAAGCAGCCAUCAUUUAAAGAAAGCGUAAUAGCUCACUGGUCGAGUCGGCCUGCGCGGAAGAUGUAACGGGGCUAAACCAUGCACCGAAGCUGCGGCAGCGAACGUAUCACCCAAGACAACUUUACGGAGUUGACGAUUGACGGAGCGAAGCGACGUCAAAGCGUUCAUUAAAGUCGAGUUGGCUUAGGGAUACGUUCGUUGGGUAGGGGAGCGUUCUGUAAGCCUGUGAAGGUGUGUCGUGAGGCAUGCUGGAGGUAUCAGAAGUGCGAAUGCUGACAUAAGUAACGAUAAAGCGGGUGAAAAGCCCGCUCGCCGGAAGACCAAGGGUUCCUGUCCAACGUUAAUCGGGGCAGGGUGAGUCGACCCCUAAGGCGAGGCCGAAAGGCGUAGUCGAUGGGAAACGGGUUAAUAUUCCCGUACUUGGUGUUACUGCGAAGGGGGGACGGAGAAGGCUAUGUUGGCCGGGCGACGGUUGUCCCGGUUUAAGCGUGUAGGUGUGUGUUCCAGGUAAAUCCGGUUCACUUUAACACUGAGGCGUGACGACGAGGCACUACGGUGCUGAAGCAACAAAUGCCCUGCUUCCAGGAAAAGCCUCUAAGCAUCAGGUAACAUCAAAUCGUACCCCAAACCGACACAGGUGGUCAGGUAGAGAAUACCAAGGCGCUUGAGAGAACUCGGGUGAAGGAACUAGGCAAAAUGGUGCCGUAACUUCGGGAGAAGGCACGCUGACACGUAGGUGAAGUGAUUUACUCAUGGAGCUGAAGUCAGUCGAAGAUACCAGCUGGCUGCAACUGUUUAUUAAAAACACAGCACUGUGCAAACACGAAAGUGGACGUAUACGGUGUGACGCCUGCCCGGUGCCGGAAGGUUAAUUGAUGGGGUCAGCGCAAGCGAAGCUCCUGAUCGAAGCCCCGGUAAACGGCGGCCGUAACUAUAACGGUCCUAAGGUAGCGAAAUUCCUUGUCGGGUAAGUUCCGACCUGCACGAAUGGCGUAAUGAUGGCCAGGCUGUCUCCACCCGAGACUCAGUGAAAUUGAACUCGCUGUGAAGAUGCAGUGUACCCGCGGCAAGACGGAAAGACCCCGUGAACCUUUACUAUAGCUUGACACUGAACAUUGAGCCUUGAUGUGUAGGAUAGGUGGGAGGCUUUGAAGUGUGGACGCCAGUCUGCAUGGAGCCGACCUUGAAAUACCACCCUUUAAUGUUUGAUGUUCUAACGUGGACCCGUAAUCCGGGUUGCGGACAGUGUCUGGUGGGUAGUUUGACUGGGGCGGUCUCCUCCUAAAGAGUAACGGAGGAGCACGAAGGUUGGCUAAUCCUGGUCGGACAUCAGGAGGUUAGUGCAAUGGCAUAAGCCAGCUUGACUGCGAGCGUGACGGCGCGAGCAGGUGCGAAAGCAGGUCAUAGUGAUCCGGUGGUUCUGAAUGGAAGGGCCAUCGCUCAACGGAUAAAAGGUACUCCGGGGAUAACAGGCUGA